UGUGGGCGGGGCCGUGGGGCUUUCCGGAGCCCGAGCAAGGGCGCAGCUUCUGCGGCCGGGAGUAGCCAGACGAGGCGCUGGCUGCGCGGGGAGGCGUCCCAGAGGAAAACAAAAAGCCCUUUCUCCUGAUUCACCAAAAAAUAAAAGACUGACUGCCAUCACUGUGAUGAGAUUCCUAUAGUCUCAGGAACUGAAGUCUUUAAACAACCAGGGGACCCUCUGCCCCUAGAAUAAGAACAUAUUAGAAGUCCCUUCUGCUAGGACAAGGAGGAUGUUCUGUAUCUGUGAUGAAUGACCCCUGCAUAUAUUAUAUCUUUCGGUAAAAACAGUGGCGUUUCAGUAGCCAAGCUGCUUAACUCUCACAUUACAGAUGUCAGUGAAGCCCCUUGGCGACCCCAACUUCUUCGGGCCUCAAUUUCCUCAUCUGUGAAAUGGGGGUGA
Molecule: long non-coding RNA, 441 nt
Filed under: Rhinopithecus bieti (black snub-nosed monkey)
Lineage: Eukaryota; Metazoa; Chordata; Mammalia; Primates; Cercopithecidae
Description: lncRNA (ENSRBIG00000045987.1)
Source: RNAcentral